Molecule: ribosomal RNA, 484 nt
Filed under: uncultured bacterium
Lineage: Bacteria
Description: partial 16S ribosomal RNA
Rfam family: Bacterial small subunit ribosomal RNA
Source: RNAcentral
AUUGAACGCUGGCGGCAGGCCUAACACAUGCAAGUCGAGCGGAUGAAGGGUGCUUUCUCCUGUAUUCAUCUGCGGACGGGUGUGUAAUGCCUAUGAAUCUUCCUGGUUGUUGGUGAUAACGUCCUGUAACGGGCUCUAAUACCGCAUACGUCCUUAGUUUGUAAGUUUUGGUUCUUCUGUCCUCUCGCUUUCUUCUGUGCCUAGGUCGUAUUAGCUAGUUGGUGGGGUAAAGUCCUACCAUGGCGAAGAUCCGUAACUGGUCUGAGAGGAUGAUCAGUCACACUGGAAGUGAGACACGGAACAGACUACUACGGGAGGCAGCAGUGGGGAAUAUUGGACAAUGGGCGAAAGCAUGAUACAGACAAGCCGAGUGUGUGAAGAAGGUCUUCGGAUUGUAAAGAAAUUUAAGUAGGGAGGAAGGGAAGUAAGUUAAUAAAGUGAUGUAUUGACGUUAACAACAGAAAAAGCACCGGCUAACUACGUG